This 879-nucleotide ribosomal RNA is filed under the name Staphylococcus epidermidis. RNAcentral's name for it is "bacterial SSU rRNA". It matches the Rfam family "Bacterial small subunit ribosomal RNA", at positions 34 to 894 of the family's 1533-position model. Lineage: Bacteria; Bacillati; Bacillota; Bacilli; Caryophanales; Staphylococcaceae. The record is from RNAcentral.
CGCUGGCGGCGUGCCUAAUACAUGCAAGUCGAGCGAACAGACGAGGAGCUUGCUCCUCUGACGUUAGCGGCGGACGGGUGAGUAACACGUGGAUAACCUACCUAUAAGACUGGGAUAACUUCGGGAAACCGGAGCUAAUACCGGAUAAUAUAUUGAACCGCAUGGUUCAAUAGUGAAAGACGGUUUUGCUGUCACUUAUAGAUGGAUCCGCGCCGCAUUAGCUAGUUGGUAAGGUAACGGCUUACCAAGGCAACGAUGCGUAGCCGACCUGAGAGGGUGAUCGGCCACACUGGAACUGAGACACGGUCCAGACUCCUACGGGAGGCAGCAGUAGGGAAUCUUCCGCAAUGGGCGAAAGCCUGACGGAGCAACGCCGCGUGAGUGAUGAAGGUCUUCGGAUCGUAAAACUCUGUUAUUAGGGAAGAACAAAUGUGUAAGUAACUAUGCACGUCUUGACGGUACCUAAUCAGAAAGCCACGGCUAACUACGUGCCAGCAGCCGCGGUAAUACGUAGGUGGCAAGCGUUAUCCGGAAUUAUUGGGCGUAAAGCGCGCGUAGGCGGUUUUUUAAGUCUGAUGUGAAAGCCCACGGCUCAACCGUGGAGGGUCAUUGGAAACUGGAAAACUUGAGUGCAGAAGAGGAAAGUGGAAUUCCAUGUGUAGCGGUGAAAUGCGCAGAGAUAUGGAGGAACACCAGUGGCGAAGGCGACUUUCUGGUCUGUAACUGACGCUGAUGUGCGAAAGCGUGGGGAUCAAACAGGAUUAGAUACCCUGGUAGUCCACGCCGUAAACGAUGAGUGCUAAGUGUUAGGGGGUUUCCGCCCCUUAGUGCUGCAGCUAACGCAUUAAGCACUCCGCCUGGGGAGUACGACCGCAAGGU